Non-coding RNA from Pelobates cultripes (western spadefoot toad), 69 nucleotides. NCBI's taxonomy places the organism in Eukaryota, Metazoa, Chordata, Amphibia, Anura, Pelobatidae. The record is from the annotation of a GenBank genome assembly.
GGCUCCAUAGCUCAGGGGUUAGAGCACUGGUCGUGUAAACCAGGGGUCGCGAGAUCUGAACUGGGGCCU